AUUGAACGCUGGCGGCAUGCUUUACACAUGCAAGUCGAACGGGCUGGGGGCAACUCCAGUCAGUGGCGAACGGGUGAGUAAUACAUCGGAACGUACCUCGUAGUGGGGGAGUAACUCGGCGAAAGCCGUGCUAAUACCGCAUAUGCUCUACGGAGGAAAGACAGGGGACCGGUAACAGGCCUUGUGCUAUGGGAGCGGCCGAUGUCCGAUUAGCUAGUUGGUGGGGUAAUGGCCCACCAAGGCGACGAUCGGUAGCUGGUCUGAGAGGAUGAUCAGCCACACUGGGACUGAGACACGGCCCAGACUCCUACGGGAGGCAGCAGUGGGGAAUUUUGGACAAUGGGGGCAACCCUGAUCCAGCCAUGCCG
RNAcentral lists this ribosomal RNA (368 nucleotides) under uncultured bacterium. RNAcentral's name for it is "bacterial SSU rRNA". It matches the Rfam family "Bacterial small subunit ribosomal RNA", at positions 30 to 399 of the family's 1533-position model. The record is from RNAcentral.